Molecule: long non-coding RNA, 520 nt
Filed under: Homo sapiens (human)
Lineage: Eukaryota; Metazoa; Chordata; Mammalia; Primates; Hominidae
Description: non-protein coding lnc-GPAT4-2:3
Source: RNAcentral
GCUUCAAGAGAUGGUUCCGUUGCUUUGGGGUGAACUUGGUACCAGUGCCGUGUUACUUAUCCAGUUCUAACUCAAGAAAGUUCUGGAGGGCAUAAUGAUCUUAGAUAAGACCAAGGCCCCGAACCUGACCAUGUUCUGUCUUCUCUCUUUGGCAGCAUGUAAGCAGCUGUUUGCCAAGAACCCAGGUCACUGCUAAGAAAGGGUGCCUUCGGGAGAAGAGUGUCCAGAGGAUACCAAUGCCAGAUGCAUCUGGAGUUACACUCAGCACUCGCAGUAUGAGACAUUGUGUGCCAGCAUCUCUUUCCUUCUGGCAAAGACUGUAGCUCUCCAGGUAGGAGGAUCCUGGAAGCUGUGAGCACCAGGAGCCUUGCCAGAGGAGGAUGGGGCCAGAUAUGAACUCUCUACCAUGAACAUGGUUCUCGGCUUAUGAAGGAAUUUUAAGUAAAACAGUUAUUUAAUUUCCACAUAUUCAAGUCAAAAGCCUUCUGUGUGAAGUGCCAGUGAUUACCCCUCCACAGGA